UACGAAGGGGGCUAGCGUUGUUCGGAAUUACUGGGCGUAAAGCGUGCGCAGGCGGCUUCUCAAGUCAGGGGUGAAAGCCCAGAGCUCAACUCUGGAAUUGCCUUUGAGACUGAGUGGCUUGAGUACGAGAGAGGUGAGUGGAAUUCCCAGUGUAGAGGUGAAAUUCGUAGAUAUUGGGAAGAACACCGGUGGCGAAGGCGGCUCACUGGCUCGUAACUGACGCUCAGGCACGAAAGCGUGGGGAGCAAACAGG
RNAcentral lists this ribosomal RNA (253 nucleotides) under uncultured bacterium. Its description in RNAcentral is "partial 16S ribosomal RNA". It matches the Rfam family "Bacterial small subunit ribosomal RNA", at positions 524 to 776 of the family's 1533-position model. The record is from RNAcentral.